RNAcentral lists this unclassified non-coding RNA (177 nucleotides) under uncultured Agaricales. Its description in RNAcentral is "sequence contains ITS1". Lineage: Eukaryota; Fungi; Basidiomycota; Agaricomycetes; Agaricales. The record is from RNAcentral.
UUGAAAUCCUUAGGAUGUUGCUGGCCUUUCCCGGAAGGCAUGUGCACUCUGCCCCUUUUCAUCUCACCCGUGAACUCAUUGUAGGCAUAGAUGUUACAGUCUAUGUCUAUGUCAUACACACACAAGUUUAUUGGAAUGUAUAAAUGUGUAAGACCUUUAUUGGUCAGAAUUUAAUAA